CAUUUGUGUGCGCUUGCUGAUGUGCUCUCUUAACCUGCCACAGGCUUCCCCAAAGCUACUGCCUGUGAAUGCAGCUCAGAUAAUAAUUAGGAAUAUUCACCCUCUCUACAUCCUUUUUCCAACAAAGACUUGAAAAACACAACAUGAUUUUUAUAUAAUUUUUUUUUUUUUCGGUUUUCUCUCUCUUUGUCCUUGUUCAGGUAGUGGCUGCAUGGAGGGCAGGUGCCUUUUAUCAAAAGACAAGGAGUCAUCUUCUCCUUAGGAAAUGUUUAUGUGCCUUCCACAGCACCAAAUUGAGAAAACAGAUUACCUCUCAGAAAGCCAUCUGUUUCAGCACCAUGUGAGCUCUCAGAAUAUAUUACUCUACCACAACAGUCUAUUUGCGACAGUUUGCUCUCAUCUUCCUGCAACCCAUCUUACAAAUGAGACAUAAAAUUGAGGCUGUGGAUGCUUAUGGACCCAAUCCUGCAACAUUUAUGCACCUGUUUAAGCUGAAUAAUGUAAAGAUUCAUGGUGAAUUGAAUGUGCAGAAUGACUAACACUUGAGGAACUAUGGCAAUUGCUCCAAAGCAGUCUGCAGUUCAGGAUAAUGAGCAAUGCAUGAAACUGGUGCAUUAUCAGGGUGGAUUAUCUGCUCCUCCCCCAAAUCUGGCCAGGAUGCUGUAAAGGAUGGACUUGGAGUGAAUGCAGAGUAAACUGUCCUCUCUGUAGUCAGUAUUAUUAUAUUAAUUUCCUUUUAUCACUGCAGUAAGACUCCUGAUUGUGCAGAAUUUAGCCCUCAGCAGUGCAACAAGAUCUCGAGGUUUUCGUCGCAGAGUCACACUUGGUGGUGUUAUACAGCCUUGUUAAUUGAUUACAAAAUAAUUCAGCAAGCUGCACUGUUCCUGCAUCUUCCAUCCAGCUUGCUGCCUCCUCACCUCAAACCAGAUACACUUCAAGGUCCUGGUCCCCGUGUCUGAAGCCAAAUCAGCCAAAGAAUGACCUUUUUCGUUCACCUACAUCUUUCAGAGAAAUAAAGCAACAGAUGACACCAAGUAGAGGAUUCACAGAGCUCUUUGUGUGAGCCUCUAGCAAUGGAGCUCUCCAGUGAAGGGCAUCAAGCUUAACUCUCAGCUCACCCUGCAAGGAGGAUUUUUUUUUUCAAUUUCUGUUAACAGCAGCAUUUCCAUUGACUUACACAGGAGCAGAGCCAAAUCCCAGAGUGUCUUUUAAGAAAAGCUACUCCUCAGCAGAAGAUGCAUCUCAGCAGAUAGGAUGCCCUUGCCCCUGAGAGUCCUUGUCCAGGCAAACCAACUCCCACUGUGCACUGAACAAUCCCCCCACUUAUUGCUCAGCCUCCAUCGAGAUUUCUGUUCUUGCACAUCGCCACUGUGAUUGGCAACUGAAACACAAAGAUCAGACAAAAG
This 1406-nucleotide long non-coding RNA is filed under the name Corvus moneduloides (New Caledonian crow). RNAcentral's name for it is "lncRNA (ENSCMUG00000019276.1)". Lineage: Eukaryota; Metazoa; Chordata; Aves; Passeriformes; Corvidae. The record is from RNAcentral.